RNAcentral lists this ribosomal RNA (460 nucleotides) under uncultured bacterium. RNAcentral's name for it is "partial 16S ribosomal RNA". It matches the Rfam family "Bacterial small subunit ribosomal RNA", at positions 338 to 795 of the family's 1533-position model. The record is from RNAcentral.
CCUACGGGAGGCAGCAGUGAGGAAUAUUGGUCAAUGGACGAGAGUCUGAACCAGCCAAGUAGCGUGAAGGAUGACUGCCCUAUGGGUUGUAAACUUCUUUUAUAUGGGAAUAAAACGUUCCACGUGUGGGAUUUUGUAUGUACCAUAUGAAUAAGGAUCGGCUAACUCCGUGCCAGCAGCCGCGGUAAUACGGAGGAUCCGAGCGUUAUCCGGAUUUAUUGGGUUUAAAGGGAGCGUAGGUGGAUUGUUAAGUCAGUUGUGAAAGUUUGCGGUUCAACCGUAAAAUUGCAGUUGAAACUGGCAGUCUUGAGUACAGUAGAGGUGGGCGGAAUUCGUGGUGUAGAGGUGAAAUGCUUAGAUAUCACGAAGAACUCCGAUUGCGAAGGCAGUUCACUGGACUGCAACUGACACUGAGGCUCGAAAGUGUGGGUAUCAAACAGGAUUAGAUACCCGAGUAGUC